This 444-nucleotide ribosomal RNA is filed under the name Triticum aestivum (bread wheat). RNAcentral's name for it is "partial small subunit ribosomal RNA". The record is from RNAcentral. Lineage: Eukaryota; Viridiplantae; Streptophyta; Magnoliopsida; Poales; Poaceae.
AUGGGGUCCGUGUCCUUGAAAUUGCUGGCGGCCCGCCGCCGGCACGGCCGGGCCCUCUCCUGCCUCUACCCACCGAUGCUGCUCUCCCUCCUCUCCACCAACCUUCUCGUCUUCUUCCCGCCCCCUCCCCGACACGACCCAGCCACCGGCAUCUCCUCCGCCUCCUCCAACCUCUCCGCGCACGUCACCGCCAUCACGCGCGAGAUCGGCGGCGCCUCCUCCUCCGGUUCCCGCCUCCCGGGCGGCCUGCCCCGGGAGCUGCUGCUCUUCCCCACCCAGCACGCGCUCCCGCUCGGCCGCGACGCGCGGACGGGGCUCCCCCACAUGCUGGCCUCCGCUGCCCCGCCGCUGGUGCCUCUGCUGCGGGCUCCGCGCCCUACUACCGGCCUCCGGCAUGGGCCUCGAUCACCGCCGCUGGGCGGGCCCUCCACGCGGCGGCCAUAA